This 256-nucleotide ribosomal RNA is filed under the name uncultured bacterium. RNAcentral describes it as "partial 16S ribosomal RNA". It matches the Rfam family "Bacterial small subunit ribosomal RNA", at positions 793 to 1055 of the family's 1533-position model. The record is from RNAcentral.
GUCCACGCCGUAAACGAUGGAUACUAGCUGUUGGGCGCAAGCUCAGUGGCUAAGCGAAAGUGAUAAGUAUCCCACCUGGGGAGUACGUUCGCAAGAAUGAAACUCAAAGGAAUUGACGGGGGCCCGCACAAGCGGUGGAGCAUGUGGUUUAAUUCGAUGAUACGCGAGGAACCUUACCAAGGCUUAAAAUGCAGACUGACCGAUUUGGAAACAGAUCUUUCGCAAGACAGUUUACAAGGUGCUGCAUGGUUGUCGU